GAUGAACGCUGGCGGCGUGCCUAAUACAUGCAAGUCGAGCGAACAGACGAGGAGCUUGCUCCUCUGACGUUAGCGGCGGACGGGUGAGUCACACGUGGAUAACCUCCCUAUAAGACUGGGAUAACUUCGGGAAACCGGAGCUAAUACCGGCUAAUAUAUUGAACCGCAUGGUUCAAUAGUGAAAGACGGUUUUGCUGUCACUUAUAGAUGGGUCCGCGCCGCAGUAGCUAGUUGGUGAGGUCACGGCUUACCAAGGCAACGAUACGUAGGCGGACUGAGAGGUGGACCCCCCACAAUGGUACUGAGACACGGACCAGACUCAUACGGGGGGCAGCAGUGAGGAAUAGUGGUCAAUGGACGCAAGUCUGAACUAGCCAUGCCGCGUGCAGGAUGACGGCUCUAUGAGUGGUAAACUGCUUUUGGACGAGGGUAGACGCAGAUACGGGUAUCUGUCUGAAAGUAGCGGACGAAUAAGGAGCGGCUAACUCCGUG
Molecule: ribosomal RNA, 492 nt
Filed under: uncultured bacterium
Lineage: Bacteria
Description: partial 16S ribosomal RNA
Rfam family: Bacterial small subunit ribosomal RNA
Source: RNAcentral